Molecule: ribosomal RNA, 496 nt
Filed under: uncultured bacterium
Lineage: Bacteria
Description: partial 16S ribosomal RNA
Rfam family: Bacterial small subunit ribosomal RNA
Source: RNAcentral
AUUGAACGCUGGCGGAAUGCUUUACACAUGCAAGUCGAACGGUAGAGGGGGCAACCCCUCGAGAGUGGCGAACGGGUGAGUAAUAUAUCGGAACGUGCCCAGUCGUGGGGGAUAACGUAGCGAAAGUUACGCUAAUACCGCAUACGAUCUAAGGAUGAAGGCGGGGGAUCGCAAGACCUCGCGCAAUUGGAGCGGCCGAUAUCAGACUAGGUAGUUGGUAGGGUAAAGGCCUACCAAGCCGACGAUCUGUAGCUGGUCUGAGAGGAUGAUCAGACACACUGGGACUGGGACACGGCCCAGACGCCUACGGGAGGCAGCAGUGGGGAAUUUUGGACAAUGGACGCAAGUCUGAUCUAGCCAUUCCGCGUGCAGGAUGAAGGCCCUCGGGUUGUAAACUGCUUUUGUACAGAACGAGAAGGCUCUGGUUAAUACCUGGGGCUCAUGACGGUACUGUAAGAAUAAGCACCGGCUAACUACGUGCCAGCAGCCGCCGCCG